RNAcentral lists this ribosomal RNA (370 nucleotides) under uncultured organism. RNAcentral's name for it is "bacterial SSU rRNA". It matches the Rfam family "Bacterial small subunit ribosomal RNA", at positions 526 to 896 of the family's 1533-position model. The record is from RNAcentral.
CGUAGGGUGCAGGCGUUAAUCGGAAUUACUGGGCGUAAAGCGUGCGCAGGCGGUUUGCUAAGACAGGUGUGAAAUCCCCGGGCUUAACCUGGGAACUGCGCUUGUUACUGGCAGGCUUGAGUGUGGCAGAGGGGGGUGGAAUUCCACGUGUAGCAGUGAAAUGCGUAGAGAUGUGGAGGAACACCGAUGGCGAAGGCAGCCCCCUGGGCUAACACUGACGCUCAUGCACGAAAGCGUGGGGAGCAAACAGGAUUAGAUACCCUGGUAGUCCACGCCCUAAACUAUGUCAACUGGUUGUCGGGGAAGCAAUUCCUUGGUAACGAAGCUAACGCGUGAAGUUGACCGCCUGGGGAGUACGGCCGCAAGGUUA